AGUAACGCGUAGGCAACCUGCCCUUUAGUGGGGAAUAACCCCGGGAAACCGGAGCUAAUACCGCAUAAUAUCCUGGUACCGCAUGGCACCGGGAUCAAAGCCUUCGGGCGCUAUUGGAUGGGCCUGCGUCGGAUUAGGUAGUUGGUGAGGUAGAAGCUCACCAAGCCAACGAUCCGUAGCUGGUCUGAGAGGAUGAUCAGCCACACUGGCACUGAGACACGGGCCAG
Molecule: ribosomal RNA, 227 nt
Filed under: uncultured bacterium
Lineage: Bacteria
Description: partial 16S ribosomal RNA
Rfam family: Bacterial small subunit ribosomal RNA
Source: RNAcentral